RNAcentral lists this ribosomal RNA (443 nucleotides) under uncultured bacterium. RNAcentral describes it as "bacterial SSU rRNA". It matches the Rfam family "Bacterial small subunit ribosomal RNA", at positions 954 to 1392 of the family's 1533-position model. The record is from RNAcentral.
AUGGGAACGCGAAGAACCUUACCUACUCUUGACAUCCAGAGAACUUAGCAGAGAUGCUUUGGUGCCUUCGGGAACUCUGAGACAGGUGCUGCAUGGCUGUCGUCAGCUCGUGUUGUGAAAUGUUGGGUUAAGCCCCGCAACGAGCGCAACCCUUACUCCUUUGUUGCCAGCGGUUAGGCCGGGAACGUCAAAGGAGACUGCCAGUGAUAAACUAGGAGGGAAGGUGGGGAUGACGUCAAGUCAUCAUGGCCCUUACGAGUAGGGCUACACACGUGCUACAAUGGCGCAUACAAAGAGAAGCGACCUCGCGAGAGCAAGCGGACCUCGUAAAGUGCGUCGUAGUCCGGAUUGGAGUCUGCAACUCGACUCCAUGAAGUCGGAAUCGCUAGUAAUCGUAGAUCAGAAUGCUACGGUGAAUACGUUCCCGGGUCUUGUACACACCG